AGUAGAUAUGGUCAUUGAUGAACUGGGAGGUGAUAUGACAAUAUAAUUGUCUCCAAAUCACACACAGUUACAACAAAGUGGGUUGCUUAAAGGGGAUGUUCUCACGGAUCGCUUUUUCUGAAUCCUCAUGGUUGUGGGUUUGUUGUAUAUGAAGUUUGAUCAAUAAUGGUAACUCCCUCUCCUUUUUGUUCCAUUGUAAAAAGAAAUGCAUUUGCUUGGUUUGCUAGUUGCAGGUGGUUUAGCUGAAAAUCAUAUCUACUUUGCAAACCAUGUCGAGAUUUCUGGAG
This is a long non-coding RNA of Magnolia sinica, 287 nucleotides long. RefSeq lists it as uncharacterized. NCBI's taxonomy places the organism in Eukaryota, Viridiplantae, Streptophyta, Magnoliopsida, Magnoliales, Magnoliaceae. The record is from RefSeq and is a predicted model, not a curated record. The transcript has 3 exons.